GACGCACCCGGAGAGACCGUACCGCCUUUGCACGGCGGAGGUCAGGGGUUCGACUCCCCUCGGCUCCA
RNAcentral lists this transfer RNA (68 nucleotides) under Actinomycetota bacterium. RNAcentral describes it as "tRNA-Ala". It matches the Rfam family "tRNA", at positions 9 to 71 of the family's 71-position model. From Rfam's summary of the family: Transfer RNA (tRNA) molecules are approximately 80 nucleotides in length. Lineage: Bacteria; Bacillati; Actinomycetota. The record is from RNAcentral.